UACGUAGGCAGCAAGCGUUGUUCGGAGUUACUGGGCGUAAAGGGUGCGUAGGCGGCUUUUUAAGUUUGGUGUGAAAUCUCCCGGCUCAACUGGGAGGGUGCGCCGAAUACUGAGAGGCUAGAGUGUGGGAGAGGAAAGUGGAAUUCCUGGUGUAGCGGUGAAAAUGCGUAGAUAUCAGGAGGAACACCGGUGGCGAAGGCGGCUACCUGGACAGAAACUGACGCUGAGGCGCGAAAGCUAGGGGGAGCAAACAGG
RNAcentral lists this ribosomal RNA (255 nucleotides) under uncultured bacterium. Its description in RNAcentral is "partial 16S ribosomal RNA". It matches the Rfam family "Bacterial small subunit ribosomal RNA", at positions 524 to 776 of the family's 1533-position model. The record is from RNAcentral.